This 464-nucleotide ribosomal RNA is filed under the name Vreelandella stevensii. RNAcentral describes it as "partial 16S ribosomal RNA". It matches the Rfam family "Bacterial small subunit ribosomal RNA", at positions 338 to 795 of the family's 1533-position model. The record is from RNAcentral. Lineage: Bacteria; Pseudomonadati; Pseudomonadota; Gammaproteobacteria; Oceanospirillales; Halomonadaceae.
CCUACGGGAGGCUGCAGUGGGGAAUAUUGGACAAUGGGCGAAAGCCUGAUCCAGCCAUGCCGCGUGUGUGAAGAAGGCCUUCGGGUUGUAAAGCACUUUCAGUGGGGAAGAAAGCCUUGGGGCUAAUACCCUCGAGGAAGGACAUCACCCACAGAAGAAGCACCGGCUAACUCCGUGCCAGCAGCCGCGGUAAUACGGAGGGGCGGGCGUUAAUCGGAAUUACUGGGCGUAAAGCGCGCGUAGGCGGUCUGAUAAGCCGGUUGUGAAAGCCCCGGGCUCAACCUGGGAACGGCAUCCGGAACUGUCAGGCUAGAGUGCAGGAGAGGAAGGUAGAAUUCCCGGUGUAGCGGUGAAAUGCGUAGAGAUCGGGAGGAAUACCAGUGGCGAAGGCGGCCUUCUGGACUGACACUGACGCUGAGGUGCGAAAGCGUGGGUAGCAAACAGGAUUAGAUACCCCUGUAGUC